Molecule: long non-coding RNA, 675 nt
Organism: Cucurbita moschata (crookneck pumpkin)
Lineage: Eukaryota; Viridiplantae; Streptophyta; Magnoliopsida; Cucurbitales; Cucurbitaceae
Exons: 3
Source: RefSeq, a predicted model, not a curated record
GUAGAAAAGGAAAAGUGAAAUGAUGAAUACGCAGCUGCACAUCGGUGACGAGAAGUUUCAUUGUCUGGUAUGUGAGCAACAAAUUAUUUGUUCAGAUGAACAGAUGUCGACUUCAAAUGGUGAAAAGUUUGGUUCACAAAAUGCCAUGCAAUUUGAAAAUUGGUCUUAAUGGAUUUCUCAGUUUCUGGAAGCACAGUGAUUGAGGUCAGUUUUAGCUCUUGUACCAGGACACUUCCUUUAGAGAUGAUUUUUUUGUCUGCCGUCUAGGCACCAAUCCCAAUUACUCUUUAGAAAAGAAUCUUAAACUAUAAUCUCAUCAGCAGGUGUGAACAUCCACAUCUCAUUAAACAUGUGAAUGGAAGAUUGGGUCCAAAGCCCAAACAGCCCACGGUCGACCGUCCUCUUUGGUUGCGCCUCUUUUCUUUCUUGUCCGGCCAAUUCCGGUCGUCUAUCCAACAUUCCAUCCACGCAGGAAACCCAACUUCAUCUUAGCGAGGUAAGUUUCACUAAGCUCCUUCAAACCUCCUUUCAAAUGAACUCUUUUUCAUUGUUGUCUGAAGAUCAAUAUCAAACACGUUCCCUUCUCCAAAAUUUGAGCACAACCGUUCUCAUCCAAACCAAAGCCUAAAGAUUCUGAACUUUUUGGACUUUCAGCAUGUCAAACACUUAUACCAA